GAACUGCUGAGGAGUCCCACGAUAGGACGAAACGGCUGUCUAGUGU
Schistosoma margrebowiei is the source of this 46-nucleotide non-coding RNA. The record is from Rfam. Lineage: Eukaryota; Metazoa; Platyhelminthes; Trematoda; Strigeidida; Schistosomatidae.